Molecule: ribosomal RNA, 858 nt
Filed under: uncultured Sphingobacteriales cum 'Crenotrichaceae' bacterium
Lineage: Bacteria; Pseudomonadati; Bacteroidota; Sphingobacteriia; Sphingobacteriales
Description: bacterial SSU rRNA
Rfam family: Bacterial small subunit ribosomal RNA
Source: RNAcentral
GUCGAGGGGCAGCAGGAGUAGCAAUACUUGCUGGCGACCGGCAAACGGGUGCGGAACACGUACGCAAUCUACCUUCAACUGGGGCAUAGCCCGAAGAAAUUCGGAUUAACACCCCAUAACAUAACUAACAGGCAUCUGUUUGGUUAUUAAAACUGAGGUGGUUGGAGAUGAGCGUGCGUCCCAUUAGAUAGUUGGUAGGGUAACGGCCUACCAAGUCGACGAUGGGUAGCUGAUGUGAGAGCAUGAUCAGCCACACGGGCACUGAGACACGGGCCCGACUCCUACGGGAGGCAGCAGUGAGGAAUAUUGGUCAAUGGACGCAAGUCUGAACCAGCCAUGCCGCGUGCAGGAUGAAGGCCUUCUGGGUUGUAAACUGCUUUUAUCAGGGAAGAAACCACAGAUUUCUAUUUGUGCCGACGGUACCUGAGGAAUAAGCACCGGCUAACUCCGUGCCAGCAGCCGCGGUAAUACGGAGGGUGCAAGCGUUAUCCGGAUUCACUGGGUUUAAAGGGUGUGUAGGCGGGCUUGUAAGUCCGAGGUGAAAUCUCCGAGCUCAACUUGGAAACUGCCUUGGAUACUAUAGGUCUUGAAUAUCGUUGAGGUAGGCGGAAUAUGUCAUGUAGCGGUGAAAUGCUUAGAUAUGACAUAGAACACCGAUUGCGAAGGCAGCUUGCUAAACGAUUAUUGACGCUGAGGCACGAAAGCGUGGGGAUCAAACAGGAUUAGAUACCCUGGUAGUCCACGCCCUAAACGAUGAUUACUCGACAUACGCGAUAUACAGUGUGUGUCUGAGCGAAAGCAUUAAGUAAUCCACCUGGGAAGUACGUCCGCAAGGAUGAAACUCAAAGGAAUUGACGG